This 334-nucleotide long non-coding RNA is filed under the name Gallus gallus (chicken). RNAcentral describes it as "lncRNA (ENSGALG00010008513.1)". Lineage: Eukaryota; Metazoa; Chordata; Aves; Galliformes; Phasianidae. The record is from RNAcentral.
UGUUGUUCGACAUCUUCAUCAGCAACCUGGAUGAAUGAAUAGAGUCCACCCUCAGCAAGUUUGCUGAUGAUACAAAGCCGAGAGGAGUGGCUGACACACUGGAAGGCCGUGCUGCCAUUCAACAAGACCUGCACAGUCUGAGACACUGUGAGGUUCAAUCAAGCCUACUCACCAAGGAAGCAUUCUACUCCUGUCUGUGCUGCAUCUCCACUCUGCUCUCACGCUGAACACCAGCAGCCCCAUCCCGGGCUGCACACAGCACUGCACACAGCACCCCAAAUGUGUGGCUGUGGAUAAAGAUCCAGCUGCUGUGCUGUCACCCUUUAAUCGUGGA